This 84-nucleotide ribosomal RNA is filed under the name uncultured bacterium. Its description in RNAcentral is "partial 16S ribosomal RNA". The record is from RNAcentral.
ACGAAUGCUUUCUGAGUUGUAAACCUCUUUCAGCAGGGACGAUAAUGACGGUACCUGCAGAAGAAGCACCGGCCAACUACGUGC